RNAcentral lists this ribosomal RNA (692 nucleotides) under Fritillaria raddeana. Its description in RNAcentral is "eukaryotic LSU rRNA". The stretch from base 308 to 425 matches the Rfam family "5.8S ribosomal RNA". The record is from RNAcentral. Lineage: Eukaryota; Viridiplantae; Streptophyta; Magnoliopsida; Liliales; Liliaceae.
CCUGUGACGUCAGUCCACUGAACCUUAUCAUUUAGACAAGGUUUCCGUAGGUGAACCUGCGGAAGGAUCAUUGCCGAGAACCGACCGAGAGACCGCGAACCUGUAAACGGAUGACACCGUGUCGGGCGGGCACUAUGCCCGUCCUGCUCGGGACCUCGCACCGUGUCCGGGACCGCCUUCGAGCGCUCCGGACACGAUUUGCGGGGGACGGACGAAACCCCGGCGCGGCCUGCGCCAAGGAACAUAUGACAGGACGGACGCACGUCAACGCCUCUGCGGCGGGGCGACGUUCGCNCUCUAUCCAUACGACUCUCGGCAACGGUUGGAGCCGUAUGCAUCGAUGAAGAACGCCGUGAACCAUCGAGUCUUUGAACGCAAGUUGCGCCCGAGGCCUUUCGGCCGAGGGCACGCCUGCCUGGGCGUCACGCCUUGUUUCGCUCCGUGCCCAUGCCCCUUCGGGGGCGGUCACGGAUGCGGAGAAUGGCCCUCCGUGCCUCGUGUGCGGCGGGCUUAAGCGCGGGCUGUCGGCGCCGGGAUGGGCACGACGAGUGGUGGACGGAGCACCAGCAGGAUGUCGUGGCCCCCUGUUUGCGCCUGAGACCCGGAACAGGCGAGCCGUGCUCCUUUACGAGGAGGGACCCGGAACAGGCGAGCGUUGCGUGGCAAUGCGACCCCAGGUCAGGCGGGGACAC